Molecule: ribosomal RNA, 467 nt
Filed under: uncultured bacterium
Lineage: Bacteria
Description: bacterial SSU rRNA
Rfam family: Bacterial small subunit ribosomal RNA
Source: RNAcentral
GGGCCAGACUCCUACGGGAGGCAGCAGUGAGGAAUAUUGGUCAAUGGGCGGGAGCCUGAACCAGCCAAGUCGCGUGAGGGAAGACGGUCCUACGGAUUGUAAACCUCUUUUGUCGGGGAGCAAAGCGAGUCACGUGUGACUCAUUGAGAGUACCCGAAGAAAAAGCAUCGGCUAACUCCGUGCCAGCAGCCGCGGUAAUACGGAGGAUGCGAGCGUUAUCCGGAUUUAUUGGGUUUAAAGGGUGCGCAGGCGGAAUGUCAAGUCAGCGGUAAAAUUUCGGGGCUCAACCCCGUCGUGCCGUUGAAACUGGCGUUCUUGAGUGAGCGAGAAGUAUGCGGAAUGCGUGGUGUAGCGGUGAAAUGCAUAGAUAUCACGCAGAACUCCGAUUGCGAAGGCAGCAUACCGGCGCCCAACUGACGCUGAAGCACGAAAGCGUGGGUAUCGAACAGGAUUAGAUACCCGCGUAC